This 301-nucleotide ribosomal RNA is filed under the name uncultured bacterium. RNAcentral describes it as "partial 16S ribosomal RNA". It matches the Rfam family "Bacterial small subunit ribosomal RNA", at positions 509 to 809 of the family's 1533-position model. The record is from RNAcentral.
CAGUCGCCGCGGUAAUUCGUAGGUGGCAAGCGUUGUCCGGAAUUAUUGGGCGUAAAGGGAGCGCAGGUGGGACGGUAAGUCCGUCUUAAAAGGCAGGGGCUCAGCCCCUGUAAGGGAUGGAAACUAUCGAUCUUGAGUGCCGGAGAGGAAAGCGGAAUUCCCAGUGUGGCGGUGAAAUGCGUAGAUAUUGGGAAGAACACCAGUGGCGAAGGCGGCUUUCUGGACGGCAACUGACACUGAGGCUCGAAAGCCAGGGGAGCGAACGGGAUUAGAUACCCGGGUAGUCCCUGUCUCUUAUACA